This 440-nucleotide ribosomal RNA is filed under the name uncultured bacterium. RNAcentral's name for it is "bacterial SSU rRNA". It matches the Rfam family "Bacterial small subunit ribosomal RNA", at positions 340 to 774 of the family's 1533-position model. The record is from RNAcentral.
UACGGAAGGCAGCAGUGGGGAAUAUUGCACAAUGGGCGCAAGCCUGAUGCAGCCAUGCCGCGUGUAUGAAGAAGGCCUUCGGGUUGUAAAGUACUUUCAGUCGUGAGGAAGGUGUUAAGGUUAAUAACCUUAGCAAUUGACGUUAGCGACAGAAGAAGCACCGGCUAACUCCGUGCCAGCAGCCGCGGUAAUACGGAGGGUGCGAGCGUUAAUCGGAAUUACUGGGCGUAAAGGGCACGCAGGCGGUUAAUUAAGUUGGAUGUGAAAUCCCCGGGCUUAACCUGGGAAUGGCAUUCAAGACUGGUUAGCUAGAGUCUUGUAGAGGGGGUAGAAUUCCAUGUGUAGCGGUGAAAUGCGUAGAGAUGUGGAGGAUACCGGUGGCGAAGGCGGCCCCUGGGACAAAGGCUGACGCUCAUGUGCGAAAGCGUGGGGAGCGAAAC